CACUCCUACGGGAGGCAGCAGUGGGGAAUAUUGGACAAUGGGCGCAAGCCUGAUCCAGCCAUGCCGCGUGAGUGAUGAAGGCCCUAGGGUUGUAAAGCUCUUUCACCGGUGAAGAUAAUGACGGUAACCGGAGAAGAAGCCCCGGCUAACUUCGUGCCAGCAGCCGCGGUAAUACGAAGGGGGCUAGCGUUGUUCGGAUUUACUGGGCGUAAAGCGCACGUAGGCGGACUAUUAAGUCAGGGGUGAAAUCCCGGGGCUCAACCCCGGAACUGCCUUUGAUACUGGUAGUCUUGAGUUCGAGAGAGGUGAGUGGAAUUCCGAGUGUAGAGGUGAAAUUCGUAGAUAUUCGGAGGAACACCAGUGGCGAAGGCGGCUCACUGGCUCGAUACCGACGCUGAGGUGCGAAAGCGUGGGGAGCAAACAGGAUUAGAAACCCGUGUAGUCCCAUG
RNAcentral lists this ribosomal RNA (449 nucleotides) under uncultured organism. Its description in RNAcentral is "partial 16S ribosomal RNA". It matches the Rfam family "Bacterial small subunit ribosomal RNA", at positions 334 to 799 of the family's 1533-position model. The record is from RNAcentral.